UCAGUCGACUCCUACGGGGAGGCAGCAGUGGGGGAAUAUUGCACAAUGGGCGCAAGCCUGAUGCAGCCAUGCCGCGUGUAUGAAGAAGGACCUUCGGGUUGUAAAGUACUUUCAGCAGUGAGGAAGGUGGAUAUGUUAAUAGCAUAUUCAUUUGACGUUAGCUGCAGAAGAAAGCACCGGCUAACUCCGUGCCAGCAGCCGCGGUAAUACGGAGGGUGCGAGCGUUAAUCGGAAUUACUGGGCGUAAAGCGCAUGCAGGUGGUUUGUUAAGUCAGAUGUGAAAGCCCGGGGCUCAACCUCGGAAUUGCAUUUGAAACUGGCAAACUAGAGUACUGUAGAGGGGGGUAGGAAUUUCAGGUGUAGCGGUGAAAUGCGUAGAGAUCUGAAGGAAUACCGGUGGCGAAGGCGGCCCCCUGGACAGAUACUGACACUCAGAUGCGAAAGCGUGGGGAGCAAACAGGAUUAGAUACCCUGGUAG
RNAcentral lists this ribosomal RNA (478 nucleotides) under uncultured bacterium. RNAcentral's name for it is "bacterial SSU rRNA". It matches the Rfam family "Bacterial small subunit ribosomal RNA", at positions 328 to 793 of the family's 1533-position model. The record is from RNAcentral.